Triticum dicoccoides is the source of this 2176-nucleotide long non-coding RNA. RefSeq lists it as uncharacterized. NCBI's taxonomy places the organism in Eukaryota, Viridiplantae, Streptophyta, Magnoliopsida, Poales, Poaceae. The transcript has 5 exons. The record is from RefSeq and is a predicted model, not a curated record.
UGCAAUCUAUGUGUGACUGUUUCUACAAGCUUAGAUUCAGUGAUUGGUUGUUGUCGCAUUCGCGUGGUGUCCAUCUGAUCCUGAGGUUGCGAUAUACUUUGUCAACCAAUGGAUGCUGGCCGAGGUCGCCCAGGUCGAGAGCGCGCCCACCGGCCUGAAGCUCAUCCACGAGCCCUGAACUCUCAAGGUCAGCGACGUAGAUGGGUGUCCCUACCAGUGGCUCUUCAAGAGAGAGGAGCAAGAACAUGAUGGCGGCGGGGUGUUCGGUCUGUGGUCCACUUCGAUGCGGGACGUGGAGGCGUGAUCCGACAAAGCCUCCCGAUGCUCCAACCACUGCUUCCCAUCAACGCCAAGGAGCAGUAGCCUCCGCAGAUUCUAUGAUGAUUGAUGCAAAGUCCGUGCUGUGCUCCUAUGAUCGAGGUAUAGAAGAAGCGGCAGAAAAUUGAAUACAUCGUUCUCUGUUGCGUUGAGGAUUGAUUUCAGUGCAACCUUUCACUGAAAUCAUAUGAACAUGAUACUGUAGAUCUUCAGGAUGGGCCUUCCUAUCCAUUCUUAUCGGAUAAAUUAAAUAUAUCUCGUGUAAAUCUAGGUAUGAGAUGUUUCUUGUACAUCUGGUGUUCUUUACAUAUUAGUGUGUUGUAGCAGAUUUAGUGACAAAUUAAAGUCAUCCUGGAGCAUUGAUAUAAUUACAUUUGCUCAUUUUUUGUUAUGUGUUUUGUUUAGAGGAAUUGCUUCUGUACUUGACAGAUUAGGAGCUGGUGUUAGGUUUCACUGGAUCAAUUUUUAGCUCUUGUUUCUUGAGGUCUGCAGAGGUUAGAGGAGUAAUUAGUCUUCUAUGUUUCUCUAAUGAGUGUGUGUCUGGAUGCAUACAUAUAGUAGAGGAGCAAUUACCAUCUGGAUGUGCAUAAAUUAUUCUUCGUUAUUUUGCGAGUACAUGUGGAUGUGCAUAAAGUGUUCUCUCUUUUUUUAACGAGUAUAUGUGAUACAUAGAAAAUGUAUAUGGUGGUUUCCAUUCUGGAUUAUCUGGCUGGUACGUGGAGCUUAUUUAAUUUUCCACUAUUAUGGCAUUAUCUGUACUGCUUGACAUAUCAUGCCCCCUUACUUCCUUCGUGACCUCCCACUACUUCAUCUACUGAAAUGAUUAGGCGAAUCUCGUUUUUUCUAGCAUUAAACCUGCAAAGAAACGAAAUCUUCUCCGGAGCAAUUAGUAUUCUCUGUUUUCCUAACAAGUGUAUGUGAACUCAUUCAGACAGUAGAGGAAUAGUUACCAUUCUCUUUGUGUUUUAGCAAGUAUAUGUGGAUGCACAUCAAGUGUUCUCUGUUUUUAAUGGGUUAUAUGUUGAUGCAUAGAAAAUGUAGUACAUGGAGCCUAUUUAGUUUGUCUGAACAAUAAUACUUAUUCACAGAUUUUGUUAGCUUGCUUCAAAAUUUAUUAAUCCAGUUAUGGUGUGGUUGCCUAUUACUCAAGAUGAUUUCAUAUUAGCUUCAGAGGACAUGUAUGUUGCGUAUCCUUUUGCCUACUGAGCACACACAAAGAAAUGUUUCUAUCGAUAUCAUUAACUGAAACAUAUUCCAUUUUUGAUCAAUUGGUGGAUCUGACUAAUAUAGAUAUAUUGUAAGAGAUAUUAUUCACGUGCCAUUUUCUUAUUUCGAGUAAGCUUGAAACUGAUGGUCUCAGUUGGUUUGUGCAUUGACUUUCUUCGGAACCUGGAUCUAGAGAAACUAAGUAGAGGGUCGCCUUUUGUGCAGGAAUUUGCAGCAGGUCUGAUCCCUUGCGCGUGCUCCUCCGCUUGUCCUCACCCUCUCGACCCUCCCCUUGCUCAUCGCCAUCCAUUUUAUUCAGAGUGUAGAUGGCGGGAAAAACACCUAAGCUCCAGAGCAAGGAUGAAAGCACUCCAUACACACCCGCAAGGAUGAUGAUCCAUCUGUUUCUAGGAUGGUGGGACUUGAGGCAUGCACCAGAAUCAAGGAUCAGCUACUUGAUGAAAAUAUACAGGAGACUCUCCUACUCAACAUGACGUUAAAAAAAGAAUCAAGGAUCAGUUCAAUGGGAAUUGGAAUGAUGAAAACACUUGUUUGAGCACAUGUGAUCCUCAUAAUAGCAUAUUUGUAAUAAAUCAUUGUAGUCAAAACACUUUUUUUUAUAAUUAUGUAGUCAAAUUACUUAUGGGCUGUU